GGAUUAUAUUUAAAAUUAAAGAAUUUGGCGGUGUUUUAUCUUAAUAGAGGAACUUGUCCUUUGAUCGAUAGACCACGUUAUAUCUAACCUUAUUUUAAGUUUAUAUACCGUUGUUGUUAGAUUACUUGUUUACAAAGAUUAAGUUUUCUUCUUAAAUUUGUUUUGCUACUUCAAAUCAAGGUGUAGUAUAUGGUGGGGGUUGAGAUGAGUUACUUUGAGUUAGGAACUGAGCAUUAUUUGAAAUUUUUUGUGAGGUAGGAUUUACUAGUAAAUUUUUAUUAAUAAAAAUAGUUGAAAUGAGAUCUAUAACAUGUACAUAUCGCCCGUCACUCCGGUUUUAACAUUGGAUAAGUCGUAACAAAGUAGGGGUAAGGGAACUUGCCCCUGGAUG
RNAcentral lists this ribosomal RNA (391 nucleotides) under Protolophus singularis. Its description in RNAcentral is "12S ribosomal RNA". It matches the Rfam family "Microsporidia small subunit ribosomal RNA", at positions 760 to 1311 of the family's 1311-position model. The record is from RNAcentral. Lineage: Eukaryota; Metazoa; Arthropoda; Arachnida; Opiliones; Protolophidae.